GCCUAAAGCGUCCGUAGCCUGUUUUGUCAGUUUUCGGUUAAAUCCAUACGCUCAACAUAUAGGCUGCCGGAAAUACUGUAAAGCUAGGGAGUGGGAGAGGUAGACGGUACUCCGUAGGAAGGGGUAAAAUCCUUUGAUCUAUGGAUGACCACCUGUGGCGAAGGCGGUCUACCAGAACACGUCCGACGGUGAGGGAUGAAAGCUGGGGGAGCAAACCGGAUUAGAUACCCGGGUAGUCCCAGCUGUAAACUAUGCAAACUCAGUGAUGCAUUGGCUUGUGGCCAGUGCAGUGCCGCAGAGAAGUCGUUAAGUUUGCCGCCUGGGAAGUACGUACGCAAGUAUGAAACUUAAAGGAAUUGGCGGGGGAGCACCACAAGGGGUGAAGCCUGCGGUUCAAUUGGAGUCAACGCCAGAAAUCUUACCCGGAGAGACAGCAGGAUGAAGGUCAAGCUGAAGACUUUACCAGACAAGCUGAGAAGUGGUGCAUGGCCGUCGCCAGCUCGUGCCGUGAGGUGUCCUGUUAAGUCAGGUAACGAGCGAGAUCCUUGCCUCUAGUUGCCACCAUUACUCUCAGGAGUAGUGGGGCGAAUUAGCGGGACUGCCGUAGUUAAUACGGAGGAAGGAGAGGGCCACGGCAGGUCAGUAUGCCCC
Molecule: ribosomal RNA, 651 nt
Filed under: uncultured archaeon
Lineage: Archaea
Description: bacterial SSU rRNA
Rfam family: Archaeal small subunit ribosomal RNA
Source: RNAcentral